AGUAUAACUUAAAAAUCUUAGCGUGUCAAAAGGAUUUGGAAGCCCAAAGGAAUGAGUCUACUAAUCAAAAUAUGUUGAACUACAAGAAUAACGAAGUAAUCAAGGAGUUGCAAUUGAAGAUGGAACUAAACCAAAGAAAAUUAAAUUAUUGGCGAAAAAACUGUAUAAAAGUUAGCAAACAGCUAAAGAAUGUGGAGCAGAAUCUGAU
Molecule: long non-coding RNA, 208 nt
Organism: Drosophila albomicans
Lineage: Eukaryota; Metazoa; Arthropoda; Insecta; Diptera; Drosophilidae
Exons: 4
Source: RefSeq, a predicted model, not a curated record